This 395-nucleotide ribosomal RNA is filed under the name uncultured bacterium. RNAcentral describes it as "partial 16S ribosomal RNA". It matches the Rfam family "Bacterial small subunit ribosomal RNA", at positions 523 to 918 of the family's 1533-position model. The record is from RNAcentral.
AUACGUAGGGUGCAAGCGUUAAUCGGAAUUACUGGGCGUAAAGCGUGCGCAGGUGGUUCGGAAAGAAGGAUGUGAAAUCCCAGGGCUCAACCUUGGAACUGCAUUCUUAACUACCGAACUAGAGUAUGUCAGAGGGGGGUAGAAUUCCGCGUGUAGCAGUGAAAUGCGUAGAUAUGCGGAGGAAUACCGAUGGCGAAGGCAGCCCCCUGGGAUAAUACUGACGCUCAUGCACGAAAGCGUGGGUAGCAAACAGGAUUAGAUACCCUGGUAGUCCACGCCCUAAACGAUGUCAACUAGCUGUUGGGCCCUUCGGGGCUUAGUAGCGUAGCUAACGCGUGAAGUUGACCGCCUGGGGAGUACGGUCGCAAGAUUAAAACUCAAAGGAAUUGACGGGG